This 354-nucleotide ribosomal RNA is filed under the name uncultured Anoxybacillus sp. RNAcentral's name for it is "bacterial SSU rRNA". It matches the Rfam family "Bacterial small subunit ribosomal RNA", at positions 1026 to 1382 of the family's 1533-position model. Lineage: Bacteria; Bacillati; Bacillota; Bacilli; Caryophanales; Anoxybacillaceae. The record is from RNAcentral.
ACGAGGUGACAGGUGGUGCAUGGUUGUCGUCAGCUCGUGUCGUGAGAUGUUGGGUUAAGUCCCGCAACGAGCGCAACCCUCGACCUUAGUUGCCAGCAUUCAGUUGGGCACUCUAAGUGACUGCCGGCUAAAAGUCGGAGAAGGUGGGGAUGACGUCAAAUCAUCAUGCCCCUUAUGACCUGGGCUACACACGUGCUACAAUGGGCGGUACAAAGGGUCGCGAACCCGCGAGGGGGAGCCAAUCCCAAAAAGCCGCUCUCAGUUCGGAUUGCAGGCUGCAACUCGCCUGCAUGAAGCCGGAAUCGCCUAGUAAUCGCGGAUCAGCAUGCCGCGGUGAAUACGUUCCCGGGCCUU